CCACUUUGUGAUUCAUGACUGGGGUGAAGUCGUAACAAGGUAACCGUAGGGGAACCUGCGGUUGGAUCACCUCCUUACCU
This 80-nucleotide ribosomal RNA is filed under the name Serratia inhibens. RNAcentral's name for it is "Serratia sp. S40 partial 16S ribosomal RNA". It matches the Rfam family "Bacterial small subunit ribosomal RNA", at positions 1457 to 1533 of the family's 1533-position model. The record is from RNAcentral. Lineage: Bacteria; Pseudomonadati; Pseudomonadota; Gammaproteobacteria; Enterobacterales; Yersiniaceae.